GGGGAUUGGUGGACGGAAGAGGCUCUGCCUUUGGGCAGCUCGCAGAGAGCGCAGGAGGCGCAGAAAAACAGGGGAGGAUUGACGCGAAAAGGAACGCUGCCUUGGCAGCGUGGCAGAGGUCAGACGGGAGUGAGAGAAGCAGCAAAACUGCAAGCUGCACAGAAAAAUAUAAGAGAUGGACAGCGCAGGGAGAGACUGGCGGGGAAGCACAGCAAUACAAAAGAAAAGCUCCAGAGAGCAAGGCAGCAAGAAAAUUAGAGGCUUCACUCCAUUCCUCUC
RNAcentral lists this long non-coding RNA (279 nucleotides) under Malus domestica (apple). RNAcentral's name for it is "long non-coding RNA (MDOM_LNC005450)". The record is from RNAcentral. Lineage: Eukaryota; Viridiplantae; Streptophyta; Magnoliopsida; Rosales; Rosaceae.